GACGAACGCUGGCGGCGUGCUUAACACAUGCAAGUCGAACGGAAAGGCCCUGCUUUUGUGGGGUGCUCGAGUGGCGAACGGGUGAGUAACACGUGAGUAACCUGCCCUUGACUUUGGGAUAACUUCAGGAAACUGGGGCUAAUACCGGAUAGGAGCUCCUGCUGCAUGGUGGGGGUUGGAAAGUUUCGGCGGUUGUGGAUGGACUCGCGGCUUAUCAGCUUGUUGGUGGGGUAGUGGCUUACCAAGGCUUUGAAGGGUAGCCGGCCUGAGAGGGUGACCGGCCACAUUGGGACUGAGAUACGGCCCAGACUCCUACGGGAGGCAGCAGUGGGGAAUAUUGCACAAUGGGCGGAAGCCUGAUGCAGCAACGCCGCGUGCGGGAUGACGGCCUUCGGGUUGUAAACCGCUUUCGCCUGUGACGAAGCGUGAGUGACGGUAAUGGGUAAAGAAGCACCGGCUAACUACGUG
Molecule: ribosomal RNA, 468 nt
Filed under: uncultured bacterium
Lineage: Bacteria
Description: partial 16S ribosomal RNA
Rfam family: Bacterial small subunit ribosomal RNA
Source: RNAcentral